GACGAACGCUGGCGGCGUGCCUAAUACAUGCAAGUUGAGCGCUGAAGGUUGGUACUUGUACCAACUGGAUGAGCAGCGAACGGGUGAGUAACGCGUGGGGAAUCUGCCUUUGAGCGGGGGACAACAUUUGGAAACGAAUGCUAAUACCGCAUAAAAACUUUAAACACAAGUUUUAAGUUUGAAAGAUGCAAUUGCAUCACUCAAAGAUGAUCCCGCGUUGUAUUAGCUAGUUGGUGAGGUAAAGGCUCACCAAGGCGAUGAUACAUAGCCGACCUGAGAGGGUGGUCGGCCACAUUGGGACUGCGACACGGCCCAAACUCCUACGGGAGGCAGCAGUAGGGAAUCUUCGGCAAUGGACGAAAGUCUGACCGAGCAACGCCGCGUGAGUGAAGAAGGUUUUCGGAUCGUAAAACUCUGUUGGUAGAGAAGAACGUUGGUGAGAGUGGAAAGCUCAUCAAGUGACGGUAACUACCCAGAAAGGGACGGCUAACUACGUG
Molecule: ribosomal RNA, 497 nt
Filed under: uncultured bacterium
Lineage: Bacteria
Description: partial 16S ribosomal RNA
Rfam family: Bacterial small subunit ribosomal RNA
Source: RNAcentral